RNAcentral lists this ribosomal RNA (492 nucleotides) under uncultured bacterium. RNAcentral describes it as "SSU rRNA". It matches the Rfam family "Bacterial small subunit ribosomal RNA", at positions 26 to 518 of the family's 1533-position model. The record is from RNAcentral.
AGGACGAACGCUGGCGGCGUGCUUAACACAUGCAAGUGGAGCGACGAACCAGGGCUUGCCCUGGGGCAAAGCCGCGAACGGGUGAGUAACACGUGGGUUACCUGCCCCGAUGACCGGGACAACCCGAGGAAACUCGGGCUAAUACCGGAUGUGCCCGCAAGGGGAAAGGAAGCUUCGGCCUCCGCAUCGGGAUGGGCCCGCGGCCCAUUAGCUUGUUGGUGAGGUAACGGCUCACCAAGGCUACGAUGGGUAGCUGGUCUGAGAGGAUGAUCAGCCACACUGGGACUGAGACACGGCCCAGACUCCUACGGGAGGCAGCAGUGGGGAAUCUUGCGCAAUGCGCGAAAGCGUGACGCAGCAACGCCGCGUGGGGGAAGAAGGCUUUCGGGUUGUAAACCCCUUUCAGUUGGGACGAAGCUUCGUCGGUUAAUAGCCGACUGGAGUGACGGUACCUUCACAAGAAGCACCGGCUAACUACGUGCCAGCAGCCGC